This is a non-coding RNA of Mus pahari (shrew mouse), 375 nucleotides long. NCBI's taxonomy places the organism in Eukaryota, Metazoa, Chordata, Mammalia, Rodentia, Muridae. The record is from the annotation of a RefSeq genome assembly.
AUGGCCUGGGAUGUCACUGACAUCCACUCUGCCUUUCUCUCCACAGGUGUCCAUUCUGAGGUCCAGCUGCAGCAGUCUGGAGCUGAGUUGGUGAGGCCUGGGGCUUCAGUGAAGAUGUCCUGCAAGGCUUCUGGAUACACAUUCACUGACUACUACAUGCACUGGGUGAAGCAGAGCCAUGGAAAGAGCCUUGAGUGUAUUGGAUAUAUUAAACCUUACAAUGGUGAUACUUGCUGCAAGGAAAAGUUCAAGGGCAAGGCCACACUGACUACAGACAUAUCCGCCAGCACAACCUACAUGCAGCUCAGCAGUGUGACAUCUGAGGACGGUGGAAUCUUUUACUGUGCAGCUCACAGUGUUGCAACUACAUCCUAA